This 494-nucleotide ribosomal RNA is filed under the name uncultured bacterium. RNAcentral's name for it is "partial 16S ribosomal RNA". It matches the Rfam family "Bacterial small subunit ribosomal RNA", at positions 28 to 507 of the family's 1533-position model. The record is from RNAcentral.
GACGAACGCUGGCGGCGUGCUUAACACAUGCAAGUCGAACGGAAAGGCCUGCUUUCCCUUGUGGAUUGCGGGUACUCGAGUGGCGAACGGGUGAGUAACACGUGAGUGAUCUGCCCCCAACUUGGGUAUAAGCCUGGGAAACUGGGUCUAAUUCCCGAUAGGACUGCAGGGUGGUGCCUGUGGUGGAAAACGAUUUUCUAGUGGUUGGGGAUGAGCUCGCGGCCUAUCAGCUUGUUGGUGGGGUAAUGGCCUACCAAGGCGGCGACGGGUAGCCGGCCUGAGAGGGUGGACGGCCACAUUGGGACUGAGAUACGGCCCAGACUCCUACGGGAGGCAGCAGUGGGGAAUAUUGCACAAUGGGCGGAAGCCUGAUGCAGCGACGCCGCGUGGGGGAUGACGGCCUUCGGGUUGUAAACUCCUUUCGACCGCGAGGAAGCCACCUGGUUGGAAGGGUGGUGACGGUAGUGGUGGAAGAAGCACCGGCUAACUACGUG